Molecule: non-coding RNA, 25 nt
Filed under: Cricetulus griseus (Chinese hamster)
Lineage: Eukaryota; Metazoa; Chordata; Mammalia; Rodentia; Cricetidae
Source: RNAcentral
AUGAAGACAUGGGGAUCCGGACGCU